UACGUAGGGGGCAAGCGUUGUCCGGAUUUAUUGGGCGUAAAGCGCGCGUAGGCGGCUUUGUAAGUUAGAGGUGAAAGCCCAGGGCUCAACCCUGGAAUUGCCUUUAAGACUGCAUCGCUUGAACAUCGGAGAGGUAAGUGGAAUUCCGAGUGUAGAGGUGAAAUUCGUAGAUAUUCGGAAGAACACCAGUGGCGAAGGCGACUUACUGGACGAUUGUUGACGCUGAGGUGCGAAAGCGUGGGGAGCAAACAGG
RNAcentral lists this ribosomal RNA (253 nucleotides) under uncultured bacterium. RNAcentral's name for it is "partial 16S ribosomal RNA". It matches the Rfam family "Bacterial small subunit ribosomal RNA", at positions 524 to 776 of the family's 1533-position model. The record is from RNAcentral.